CACUUUGGAGCAGCUAACAACAGGAACACCUCACAAAACACUCUCAAACUCUGACUCCGCUCACCACCUUCAAGCUUAUAAUCCAACAGAUUGUAGGUGACACACACACACACACACACACA
Molecule: long non-coding RNA, 122 nt
Organism: Stegastes partitus (bicolor damselfish)
Lineage: Eukaryota; Metazoa; Chordata; Actinopteri; Pomacentridae
Exons: 3
Source: RefSeq, a predicted model, not a curated record